This 253-nucleotide ribosomal RNA is filed under the name uncultured bacterium. RNAcentral's name for it is "partial 16S ribosomal RNA". It matches the Rfam family "Bacterial small subunit ribosomal RNA", at positions 524 to 776 of the family's 1533-position model. The record is from RNAcentral.
UACGUAGGGGGCAAGCGUUGUCCGGAAUCAUUGGGCGUAAAGCGCGCGUAGGCGGCCCGGUAAGUCCGCUGUGAAAGUCCAGGGCUCAACCCUGGAAAGCCGGUGGAUACUGCCGGGCUAGAGUCCGGAAGAGGCGAGUGGAAUUCCUGGUGUAGUGGUGGAAUGCGCAGAUAUCAGGAGGAACACCAAUAGCGAAGGCAGCUCGCUGGGACGGUACUGACGCUGAGGUGCGAAAGCGUGGGGAGCAAACAGG